Molecule: long non-coding RNA, 235 nt
Filed under: Phoenix dactylifera (date palm)
Lineage: Eukaryota; Viridiplantae; Streptophyta; Magnoliopsida; Arecales; Arecaceae
Description: long non-coding RNA (PDAC_LNC004589)
Source: RNAcentral
UCACACUUCAGGCUCCAUGAGUUAUGCGAGGCGUAGAGCUGAAUUCAUAAGCUUUCUUGAAAUAAUUUAAAUUUAUCUUAAAUUAUUCUAUCAUAUAGCAUGUAUACUCUUGAAAUAUACUUUUUGUUGUAGAUGGAUGAUAAUGGGAGGGAGCCUGGUAAGGUGGAGUUUUAUAAGAUGACUCACACCCACCGAGAUGGCAGCUUUGUCCGAGAGGAGUCAAGAGAUAUAGUUG